This 649-nucleotide ribosomal RNA is filed under the name Prolinoborus fasciculus. RNAcentral's name for it is "bacterial SSU rRNA". It matches the Rfam family "Bacterial small subunit ribosomal RNA", at positions 31 to 675 of the family's 1533-position model. The record is from RNAcentral. Lineage: Bacteria; Pseudomonadati; Pseudomonadota; Betaproteobacteria; Neisseriales; Neisseriaceae.
GGGCAUUGGGCGGCAGCUUACACAUGCAAGUCGAGCGGGGAAGAGUAGCUUGCUACUUGACCUAGCGGCGGACGGGUGAGUAAUGCUUAGGAAUCUGCCUAUUAGUGGGGGACAACAUCUCGAAAGGGAUGCUAAUACCGCAUACGUCCUACGGGAGAAAGCAGGGGACCUUCGGGCCUUGCGCUAAUAGAUGAGCCUAAGUCGGAUUAGCUAGUUGGUGGGGUAAAGGCCUACCAAGGCGACGAUCUGUAGCGGGUCUGAGAGGAUGAUCCGCCACACUGGGACUGAGACACGGCCCAGACUCCUACGGGAGGCAGCAGUGGGGAAUAUUGGACAAUGGGGGGAACCCUGAUCCAGCCAUGCCGCGUGUGUGAAGAAGGCCUUUUGGUUGUAAAGCACUUUAAGCGAGGAGGAGGCUACCGAGAUUAAUACUCUUGGAUAGUGGACGUUACUCGCAGAAUAAGCACCGGCUAACUCUGUGCCAGCAGCCGCGGUAAUACAGAGGGUGCAAGCGUUAAUCGGAUUUACUGGGCGUAAAGCGCGCGUAGGUGGCCAAUUAAGUCAAAUGUGAAAUCCCCGAGCUUAACUUGGGAAUUGCAUUCGAUACUGGUUGGCUAGAGUAUGGGAGAGGAUGGUAGAAUUCCAGGUG